This 497-nucleotide ribosomal RNA is filed under the name uncultured bacterium. RNAcentral's name for it is "partial 16S ribosomal RNA". It matches the Rfam family "Bacterial small subunit ribosomal RNA", at positions 28 to 507 of the family's 1533-position model. The record is from RNAcentral.
GACGAACGCUGGCGGCGUGCCUAAUACAUGCAAGUUGAGCGAUGAAGAUUGGUGCUUGCACCAAUUUGAAGAGCAGCGAACGGGUGAGUAACGCGUGGGGAAUCUGCCUUUGAGCGGGGGACAACAUUUGGAAACGAAUGCUAAUACCGCAUAACAACUUUAAACAUAAGUUUUAAGUUUGAAAGAUGCAAUUGCAUCACUCAAAGAUGAUCCCGCGUUGUAUUAGCUAGUUGGUGAGGUAAAGGCUCACCAAGGCGAUGAUACAUAGCCGACCUGAGAGGGUGAUCGGCCACAUUGGGACUGAGACACGGCCCAAACUACUACGGGAGGCAGCAGUAGGGAAUCUUCGGCAAUGGACGAAAGUCUGACCGAGCAACGCCGCGUGAGUGAAGAAGGGUUUCGGAUCGUAAAACUCUGUUGGUAGAGAAGAACGUUGGUGAGAGUGGAAAGCUCAUCAAGUGACGGUAACUACCCAGAAAGGGACGGCUAACUACGUG